UACCAGCACCCCGAGUGGUCGGGACGUUUAUUGGGCCUAAAGCAUCCGUAGCCGGUUCUACAAGUCUUCCGUUAAAUCCAACUGCUUAACAGGUGGGCUGCGGAAGAUACUAUAGAGCUAGGAGGCGGGAGAGGCAAGCGGUACUCGAUGGGUAGGGGUAAAAUCCGUUGAUCCAUUGAAGACCACCAGUGGCGAAGGCGGCUUGCCAGAACGCGCUCGACGGUGAGGGAUGAAAGCUGGGGGAGCAAAUAGG
Molecule: ribosomal RNA, 253 nt
Filed under: uncultured bacterium
Lineage: Bacteria
Description: partial 16S ribosomal RNA
Rfam family: Archaeal small subunit ribosomal RNA
Source: RNAcentral